CCGCCGCUCCGCGCCGCGCGAGUCCGCGACCAGUCAGUCAGUCUGCGACCAGUGAAAGUGCUCGUAACAGAAUAAUGCGCUACGCUCCCGCCACUCAGUUCCGCGCCUCUGUCCACGUCCCCGUGCUCGCCUUCGCCUCCGUCCUCCUCUUCUGACUCCCCGCACCCUCUCUUCCCCAACGCCCCGCUCCACCCCCGAGAGGCACCCACCCCGUCCACCCCCGGAGUCAACGUCCAAAUGUCCAGCGGGCGCCGGUGACGCUUUUUUCCCUUCUUUUUUCAGUGCGUGAUUUUUCCUAGUUUUCGUGUGUCACCUAGGGGUCCGGUCGUGCCGUGUUUUCCCCUGGUUUCCGGGUCGAUUCAGUGGUAUUUGUUUAUUGCUGUGCAUCAAAGUGACGCAAGGAUGUAUUAAGUGGGAACGAGUGGAUUAUAUCGACAGUACGAUUGCAUCAGGGGACCGCAUCUGGGCGGGAGGCGGCCGACAAUGGUCACGCCAUUAUGGGGCUACCUCGCCAUCUCAGCUCUGGGCCUCAGCCUCGUCUGCUCGGCAUCAAAUAUGAUCCACCACCAUAUGGAUACACAUGAUCUCAGAAACGUUUUUCACGUGAACCUUCACGCAGACGUUCCGGAGUACGAGGUGGUCAAAGUGAGAUCGAUCCGGCGGCGGCGGGGGGCGGGGGUCCGGCCGGAGGAGGACAAGUCGAGGGUCAUGAAACUGCAGGCUUUCGGGCGCGACCUUGAGCUGACCUUGCGCAAAUCCGACGGCCUCUUCAAAGACAAGCUCCGCAUGUGGGCCGCCGAACCCAACAGCACCGGCAGCAUCAACUACACUGAGCUUCCUCACGAGUAUGUGGGAGAAGCGUAUCAAGACGAGGAGUCACAGGCUGCCAUAGUUCUACAUAGGGAUAAACAUGAUGGUACCUAUUUAAUGGUGAGUCUCAUCUUCUAAAUUGAACUAUAUUUACAACUUAGAUAAGAUUAUAGGAUUUUUCC
Molecule: long non-coding RNA, 992 nt
Filed under: Bemisia tabaci
Lineage: Eukaryota; Metazoa; Arthropoda; Insecta; Hemiptera; Aleyrodidae
Description: lncRNA ENSASIAIIG012652
Source: RNAcentral